Long non-coding RNA from Populus trichocarpa (black cottonwood), 408 nucleotides. RefSeq lists it as uncharacterized. The transcript is spliced from 2 exons. NCBI's taxonomy places the organism in Eukaryota, Viridiplantae, Streptophyta, Magnoliopsida, Malpighiales, Salicaceae. The record is from RefSeq and is a predicted model, not a curated record.
AAAGGUUGUAAGAAGCUGAAGUAGCCAUCUAGUCACUCAUUUCCCUCGCGGAAAGAAACAGCAACAGAACUGCAUGGUAGUAGAAUUGUUCGCUUAAACGAGACAGAAAAUGGAAGCAUAGAAGAGGAGAACAUUGAAUAAUUCCCUGAUAGGCGCCAGAAGAGAAAUCAACAUCAUCUUCCAUGCCCCCUCUAGCCUGCAUGAAGGCCUCUGGAUUCUCCUCCGGAUCAUUUGGGUUCAUCCUCAUGCCGGAUUUUUCCUUGCGUGCAGUGUCGAAGUAGGCAGUGUAAGGAACAUUAUCAUUAUCCCAGCCACCAAACUUGGGGACAUGGUGACGUUGCUGUGACAGAAUCAUGUGUAAGAAUGGGAAAAUUUUGUGCAGAUACACACUUGAUAAAUUCAAUCUCA